UACAAAGGGUCGCAAACCUGUGAAGGGGAGCUAAUCCCAAAAAGCCGUCCUCAGUUCGGAUCGGAGUCUGCAACUCGACUCCGUGAAGUUGGAAUCGCUAGUAAUCGUGGAUCAGCAUGCCACGGUCGAAUACGUUCCGGGCCUU
This 145-nucleotide ribosomal RNA is filed under the name uncultured Desulfobacca sp. RNAcentral's name for it is "partial 16S ribosomal RNA". It matches the Rfam family "Bacterial small subunit ribosomal RNA", at positions 1238 to 1382 of the family's 1533-position model. The record is from RNAcentral. Lineage: Bacteria; Pseudomonadati; Thermodesulfobacteriota; Desulfobaccia; Desulfobaccales; Desulfobaccaceae.